Molecule: small RNA, 54 nt
Filed under: bovine gut metagenome
Description: Streptococcus sRNA SpF59 (ldcC RNA)
Rfam family: Streptococcus sRNA SpF59 (ldcC RNA)
Source: RNAcentral
GACCACGCCCGACAGCGGCGUCAAGGCCAUACGGACAGCCGGGUCCACUGCCGA